Molecule: non-coding RNA, 72 nt
Organism: Cydia amplana
Lineage: Eukaryota; Metazoa; Arthropoda; Insecta; Lepidoptera; Tortricidae
Source: the annotation of a RefSeq genome assembly
GUCUCAGUAGUUCAGUUGGCAGAAGGAUGGGCUGGUAUCCCAGAUUCGCGAGUUCGAGUCUCGCUUGAGACU